UACGGAGGAUGCGAGCGUUAUCCGGAUUUAUUGGGUUUAAAGGGUGCGUAGGCGGAGUGUCAAGUCAGCGGUAAAAUUUCGGGGCUCAACCCCGUCGUGCCGUUGAAACUGACACCCUUGAGUGAGUGAGAAGUAAGCGGAAUGCGUGGUGUAGCGGUGAAAUGCAUAGAUAUCACGCAGAACGCCGAUUGCGAAGGCAGCCUACCGGCUUCUGUCUGACGCUGAGGCACGAAAGCGUGGGUAUCGAACAGG
RNAcentral lists this ribosomal RNA (252 nucleotides) under uncultured Bacteroidales bacterium. RNAcentral describes it as "partial 16S ribosomal RNA". It matches the Rfam family "Bacterial small subunit ribosomal RNA", at positions 524 to 776 of the family's 1533-position model. Lineage: Bacteria; Pseudomonadati; Bacteroidota; Bacteroidia; Bacteroidales. The record is from RNAcentral.